GUAACGCUGGCGGCAUGUCUGAGGCAUGCAAGUCGAACGAUGAUUUUUUAACUUCGGUUUUAGAAUCAAGUGGCAAACGGGAGAGUAACACAUUGGUAACCUACCUUUAAGCCGAGCAUAGCUCACUGAAAAGUGAAUUAAUACUCGAUAGUCAUGAGGGGACGCAAGUCAUUCUCAUGUAAAACUCCGGUGCUUAGAGAGGGGCCUAUGUCUGAUUAGUUUGUUGGUGGGGUAAUGGCCUACCAAGACUAUGAUCAGUACCGGGCGUGAGAGCGUGACCCGGCUCACUGGGACUGAGACACUGCCCAGACUCCUACGGGAGGCUGCAGUCAAGAAUCUUCCACAAUGGGCGAAGGCCUGAUGGAGCGAUGCCGCGUGCAGGAAGAAGUCCUUCGGGAUGUAAACUGCUUUUAUAAGGGACGAAUUCGUGACGGUACCUUAUGAAUAAGAGGUUGCUAACUCUGUGCCAGCAGCAGCGGUAAUACAGAGACCUCAAGCGUUGUCCGGAAUUACUGGGCGUAAAGCGUCCGCAGGUGGUUUUCUAAGUCAAUGGUCAAAUCCUGGGGCUUAACUUCAGGACUGCCGUUGAUACUGGAAAACUUGAGGCUGGAAGAGGCAAGCGGAACUAUCGGUGUAGUCGUAAUAAGCGCUGAUAUCGAUAGGAACACCAAAGGCGAAGGCAGCUUGCUAGUACGUGCCUGACACUCAUGGACGAAAGCGUGGGUAGCGAAUCGGAUUAGAUACCCGAGUAGUCCACGCCGUAAACGAUG
Molecule: ribosomal RNA, 770 nt
Filed under: uncultured bacterium
Lineage: Bacteria
Description: bacterial SSU rRNA
Rfam family: Bacterial small subunit ribosomal RNA
Source: RNAcentral